Prionailurus viverrinus (fishing cat) is the source of this 273-nucleotide long non-coding RNA. RefSeq lists it as uncharacterized. The record is from RefSeq and is a predicted model, not a curated record. The transcript is spliced from 2 exons. Lineage: Eukaryota; Metazoa; Chordata; Mammalia; Carnivora; Felidae.
UGACCUUUUGAGGUCCCUUCUAACAUGCAGCCCCUCUGAACCCCAAGGAACAAGGACUGGGGAACAGUGUGAAGGAAAUGUUGUUCGCACCUGUCCAGUCUGGGGCCCAACUGGUAAAAGAGGGAGAGUGAAAUUCCACGUUCCAUCCGCUUGCCCAUGGCUUUCGCCUAUUAUUCCCAUGUUGGCAAAAAUGAAGAGACUCCUAUUCCAUAUGAUUUGGCAGAUUGUAACAUGAAAAGUGUUUUGAAAUAAAUUCAAUGAGCAAAUCUACAA